UAACGGGUGAAAGUCCCGUCAUGGUAAAAGCCGGAGCCAUGUAGCUUGGAUGGCAGGGGGCGAUGGAAACGUUGCCUUCUGAAGCCCCAUUGACAAAGUCGGCGUAAGGCCGGUGAGCGAAUAUCCGGGUCGUAACGAAA
Candidatus Jettenia caeni is the source of this 140-nucleotide non-coding RNA. The record is from Rfam. NCBI's taxonomy places the organism in Bacteria, Pseudomonadati, Planctomycetota, Candidatus Brocadiia, Candidatus Brocadiales, Candidatus Brocadiaceae.